CGUGACCUUUUAAUCAGGAUAGGCUGAGAUUGAAGUUUUUGUACAAAAUAAAUUUGCUUUGGAAGGAUUUGCCAGAGACCACCCUGGGGGAAUGUUCGAUGGUUCAGUUGGAGAUCAUGGGAUUUGGAGUCAGGUGACUGCUUAGCUGCCAAUGAGUGUCCUCAACAUCCAGACCAUGCAGGGACAGCUGUGUUCCAUAAAAGCCUGUCUGGGGAGGAGAUUCCUGCCACAUUUCCCUCAAGCCUUUUUAAAAAUAUGAAUUUCUUUUCACACCUAGUCUGAUUUUGCCCAUUGUAGAUGAAAUUAUUCAAGGAGGAAUUAUUUUGUAUAGAAAAUAGUGAAACUGGGAAAAAAGCAAACAUGCACACCUUUAUCACAGGAGGACAUCCCUGAAAUCUCCAGGUGGGUUAAUGGCCUUUCCCCUGAGUUCCCUUCUGCUGUCAUAAUCAACCAAUAA
Long non-coding RNA from Lutra lutra (Eurasian river otter), 457 nucleotides. RefSeq lists it as uncharacterized. The transcript is spliced from 4 exons. The record is from RefSeq and is a predicted model, not a curated record. NCBI's taxonomy places the organism in Eukaryota, Metazoa, Chordata, Mammalia, Carnivora, Mustelidae.